AUUGAACGCUGGCGGCAUGCUUUACACAUGCCAGUCGAACGGUAACAGCACUUCGGUGGCUGACGAGUGGCGAACGGGUGAGUAAUACAUCGGAACGUGCCUAGUAGUGGGGGAUAACUACUCGAAAGAGUAGCUAAUACCGCAUGAGAUCUAAGGAUGAAAGCAGGGGACCUUCGGGCCUUGCGCUACUAGAGCGGCUGAUGGCAGAUUAGGUAGUUGGUGGGAUAAAAGCUUACCAAGCCGACGAUCUGUAGCUGGUCUGAGAGGACGACCAGCCACACGGGGACUGAGACACGGCCCAGACUCCUACGGGAGGCAGCAGUGGGGAAUUUUGGACAAUGGGCGCAAGCCUGAUCCAGCAAUGCCGCGUGCAGGAUGAAGGCCUUCGGGUUGUAAACUGCUUUUGUACGGAACGAAAAGCCCUCUUCUAAUACAGGAGGGUCAUGACGGUACCGGAAGAAUAAGCACCGGCUAACUACGUG
RNAcentral lists this ribosomal RNA (482 nucleotides) under uncultured bacterium. RNAcentral describes it as "partial 16S ribosomal RNA". It matches the Rfam family "Bacterial small subunit ribosomal RNA", at positions 30 to 507 of the family's 1533-position model. The record is from RNAcentral.